Zalophus californianus (California sea lion) is the source of this 142-nucleotide small nuclear RNA. Its record names the gene U4. It matches the Rfam family "U4 spliceosomal RNA". From Rfam's summary of the family: U4 small nuclear RNA (U4 snRNA) is a component of the major U2-dependent spliceosome. The structure of U4 snRNA from yeast and human has been reported. U4 snRNA presents a k-turn RNA motif in the 5p-SL related to recognition of Snu13 protein. Lineage: Eukaryota; Metazoa; Chordata; Mammalia; Carnivora; Otariidae. The record is from Ensembl.
AGCUUUGCGCAGUGGUAGUAUCGUAGCCAAUGAGGUUUAUCCAAGGCACGAUUAUUGCUAACUGAAACUAAGAAUUCUAGAAGGCAUCAGAAAAAAUCUUUGUGAUCUUUGGUUUGGCCAAGAAUUCUUAGGACACAAAAAG